This 791-nucleotide ribosomal RNA is filed under the name uncultured bacterium. RNAcentral's name for it is "bacterial SSU rRNA". It matches the Rfam family "Bacterial small subunit ribosomal RNA", at positions 25 to 806 of the family's 1533-position model. The record is from RNAcentral.
CAGGAUGAACGCUAGCUACAGGCUUAACACAUGCAAGUCGAGGGGCAGCAUGAACUUAGCUUGCUAAGUUUGAUGGCGACCGGCGCACGGGUGAGUAACACGUAUCCAACCUGCCGAUGACUCGGGGAUAGCCUUUCGAAAGAAAGAUUAAUACCCGAUGGCAUAGUUCUUCCGCAUGGUAGGACUAUUAAAGAAUUUCGGUCAUCGAUGGGGAUGCGUUCCAUUAGCUUGUUGGCGGGGUAACGGCCCACCAAGGCAUCGAUGGAUAGGGGUUCUGAGAGGAAGGUCCCCCACAUUGGAACUGAGACACGGUCCAAACUCCUACGGGAGGCAGCAGUGAGGAAUAUUGGUCAAUGGGCGCUAGCCUGAACCAGCCAAGUAGCGUGAAGGAUGACUGCCCUAUGGGUUGUAAACUUCUUUUAUAUGGGAAUAAAGUGCAGUAUGUAUACUGCUUUGCAUGUACCUUAUGAAUAAGGAUCGGCUAACUCCGUGCCAGCAGCCGCGGUAAUACGGAGGAUCCGAGCGUUAUCCGGAUUUAUUGGGUUUAAAGGGAGCGUAGGCGGGUUGUUAAGUCAGUUGUGAAAGUUUGCGGCUCAACCGUAAAAUUGCAGUUGAUACUGGCAUCCUUGAGUACAGUAGAGGUAGGCGGAAUUCGUGGUGUAGCGGUGAAAUGCUUAGAUAUCACGAAGAACUCCGAUUGCGAAGGCAGCCUGCUGGACUGUAACUGACGCUGAUGCUCGAAAGUGUGGGUAUCAAACAGGAUUAGAUACCCUGGUAGUCCACACAGUAAA